UGCAGUCGACGGUAGCACAGAGGAGCUUGCUCCUUGGGUGACGAGUGGCGGACGGGUGAGUAAUGUCUGGRAAACUGCCCGAUGGAGGGGGAUAACUACUGGAAACGGUAUCUAAUACCGCAUAACGUCGCAAGACCAAAGAGGGGGACCUUCGGGCCUCUUGCCAUCGGAUGUGCCCAUAUGGGAUUAUCUARUAGGUGGGGUAACGGCUCACCUAGGCGACGAUCCCUAUCUGGUCUGAGAGGAUGACCACCCACACUGGAACUGAGACACGGUCCACACUCCUACGGGAGGCAGCAGUGGGGAAUAUUGCACAAUGGGCGCAAGCCUGAUGCACCCAUGCCGCGUGUAUGAAGAAGGCCUUCGGGUUGUAAAGUACUUUCAGCGAGGAGGAAGGUGUUGUGGUUAAUAACCGCAGCAAUUGACGUUACUCGCAGAAGAAGCACCGGCUAACUCCGUGCCAGCACCCGCGGUAAUACGGAGGGUGCAAGCGUUAAUCAGAAUUACUGGGCGUAAAGCGCACGCAGGCGGUCUGUCAAGUCGGAUGUGAAAUCCCCGGGCUCAACCUGGGAACUGCAUCCGAAACUGGCAGGCUAGAGUCUUGUAGAGGGGGGUAGAAUUCCAUGUGUAGCGGUGAUAUGCGUAGAGAUCUGGAGGAAUACCGGUGGCGAGCGCGGCCCCCUGGACAAACACUGACUCU
This 700-nucleotide ribosomal RNA is filed under the name Citrobacter freundii. RNAcentral's name for it is "bacterial SSU rRNA". Lineage: Bacteria; Pseudomonadati; Pseudomonadota; Gammaproteobacteria; Enterobacterales; Enterobacteriaceae. The record is from RNAcentral.